CGAGCGAUCUCUUCGGAGAGAGCGGCGGACGGGUGAGUAACGCGUGGGUACCUGCCCUGUACACACGGAUAACAUACCGAAAGGUAUACUAAUACGGGAUAACAUACGAAAGUCGCAUGGCUUUUGUAUCAAAGCUCCGGCGGUACAGGAUGGACCCGCGUCUGAUUAGCUAGUUGGUAAGGUAAUGGCUUACCAAGGCAACGAUCAGUAGCCGACCUGAUAGGGUGAUCGGCCACACUGGAACUGAGACACGG
Molecule: ribosomal RNA, 254 nt
Filed under: Clostridium sp. AL02-3
Lineage: Bacteria; Bacillati; Bacillota; Clostridia; Eubacteriales; Clostridiaceae
Description: partial 16S ribosomal RNA
Rfam family: Bacterial small subunit ribosomal RNA
Source: RNAcentral